AUUGAACGCUGGCGGCAUGCCUUACACAUGCAAGUCGAACGGCAGCACGGGUGCUUGCACCUGGUGGCGAGUGGCGCACGGGUGAGUAAUACAUCGGAACGUACCUUAUCGUGGGGGAUAACGCAGCGAAAGCUGUGCUAAUACCGCAUACGCCAUGAGGGGGAAAGCGGGGGAUCGCAAGACCUCGCGCGAUUAGAGCGGCCGAUGCCUGAUUAGCUUGUUGGUGGGGUAAAAGCCCACCAAGGCGACGACCAGUAGCUGGUCUGAGAGGACGAUCAGCCACACUGGGACUGAGACACGGCCCAGACUCCUACGGGAGGCAGCAGUGGGGAAUUUUGGACAAUGUGGGCAACCCUGAUCCAGCAAUGCCGCGUGAGUGAAGAAGGCCUUCGGGUUGUAAAGCUCUUUUGUCAGGGAAGAAACACCGGCUCUAACACAGUCUGGGAAUGACGGUACCUGAAGAAUAAGCACCGGCUAACUACGUGCCAGCCGCCGCCGUAA
This 501-nucleotide ribosomal RNA is filed under the name uncultured bacterium. Its description in RNAcentral is "partial 16S ribosomal RNA". It matches the Rfam family "Bacterial small subunit ribosomal RNA", at positions 30 to 523 of the family's 1533-position model. The record is from RNAcentral.